UAGCAUGAAGUCAGACA
Molecule: ribosomal RNA, 17 nt
Filed under: Symbiodinium sp. ex Favia maritima
Lineage: Eukaryota; Dinophyceae; Suessiales; Symbiodiniaceae
Description: partial 28S ribosomal RNA
Source: RNAcentral